GCCUGACGCAGCGACGCCGCGUGGGGGAUGAAGGUCUUCGGAUUGUAAACCCCUUUCGGCAGGGAAGAUGGAACGGGUAACCGUUCGGACGGUACCUGCAGAAGCAGCCACGGCUAACUUCGUGCCAGCAGCCGCGGUAAUACGAAGGUGGCAAGCGUUGUUCGGAUUUACUGGGCGUACAGGGAGCGUAGGCGGUUGGGUAAGCCCUUCGUGAAAUCUCCGGGCCUAACCCGGAAAGUGCGGAGGGGACUGCUCGGCUAGAGGAUGGGAGAGGAGG
Molecule: ribosomal RNA, 277 nt
Filed under: uncultured Nitrospira sp.
Lineage: Bacteria; Pseudomonadati; Nitrospirota; Nitrospiria; Nitrospirales; Nitrospiraceae
Description: partial 16S ribosomal RNA
Rfam family: Bacterial small subunit ribosomal RNA
Source: RNAcentral